UGGGGGAUAUUGCACAAUGGGCGAAAGCCUGAUGCAGCGACGCCGCGUGGGGGAUGAAGGCCUUCGGGUUGUAAACUUCUUUUGCUCUGAACAAGGCAUGCCUUUGGGGUGUGUUGAGUGUAGGGGUUGAUUAGCGCCGGCUAACUACGUGCCAGCAGCCGCGGUAAUACGUAGGGCGCGAGCGUUGUCCGGAAUUAUUGGGCGUAAAGGGCUUGUAGGUGGCUGGUUGCGUCUGUCGUGAAAGCUCAUGGCUUAACUGUGGGUUUGCGGUGGGUACGGGCUGGCUUGAGUGCGGUAGGGGAGGCUGGAAUUCCUGGUGUAGCGGUGGAAUGCGCAGAUAUCAGGAGGAAUACCGGUGGCGAAGGCGGGUCUCUGGACUGUUACUGACGCUGAGGAGCGAAAGCGUGGGGAGCGAACAGG
Molecule: ribosomal RNA, 420 nt
Filed under: Fusobacteriota bacterium
Lineage: Bacteria; Fusobacteriati; Fusobacteriota
Description: Fusobacteria bacterium partial 16S ribosomal RNA
Rfam family: Bacterial small subunit ribosomal RNA
Source: RNAcentral